CCCCUUUAAAGGAAAAGAAAAGUCAAGAGCUCUAUUUUAAUUCACUUUCUAAAAAGAGCUAUUUUAAAAACAAAUCCUUUCUUUGGGAGAUAUUUGAUAUUCAUAAAUAUUUUUAUUUGUUUACUAACUACGUCCCUGUAUGUGAUCUCUUUGUUUCAUCUCAUUGACAAACAACUUGUGAAUUUACCACUAUAGAAACAAUCGAAAAACGUCCAGUUUAAAAUCUAAGGAAGAGCCAUGAAAAAAGGGGGGUAGUACAAAAUGUGUUUAUACCGGCAAUAGGAUUGCUUUUAUUUACGGAAGUGCAACUUAUAAGCAAAUCCUAAUCCACCAGUGUUAUCCGAUACUUUGCGUACACACUCAGUCCUAUGUCACUUGUCACAAAUCAUAUAUUAAUGACAUCUACCAGAAUCAUGAGGGACUUUAUAAAACUUCAAAGCGGUUGACUUCAACUAACAUCAACUUGGUUCAAUAGCUUCUUUGUAAGCUACAUUUUUU
RNAcentral lists this long non-coding RNA (498 nucleotides) under Mytilus galloprovincialis (Mediterranean mussel). The record is from RNAcentral. Lineage: Eukaryota; Metazoa; Mollusca; Bivalvia; Mytilida; Mytilidae.